AUAAACGCUGGCGGCAUGCCUAAUACAUGCAAGUCGAACGGACGUAGCAAUACGUCAGUGGCGAGCGGGUGAGUAACACGUAAGUAACCGACCUCAAAGUCGAGGAUACCCUCUGGAAACGGAGGCUAAAACUGGAUAGGACGGGGGACCACAAGGAUCCCCGUUUAAAGGCGCAAUUGCACUGUUUUGAGCCGGGCUUGCGGCGCAUUAGCUAGUUGGUGAGAUAACAGCCCACCAAGGCGACGAUGCGUAGCUGCGCUGAGAGGCGGAACAGCCACACUGGGACUGAGACACGGCCCAGACUCCUACGGGAGGCAGCAGUAGGGAAUUUUCGGCAAUGGGGGGAACCCUGACCGAGCAAUGCCGCGUGAACGAUGAAGGUCUUCGGAUUGUAAAGUUCUGUCAAUGGGGAAGAAUGGUCCGCGUAGUGGAAAGACGCGGGCGUGACGGUACCUGUUUAGAAAGCCCCGGCCAACUAUGU
Molecule: ribosomal RNA, 481 nt
Filed under: uncultured bacterium
Lineage: Bacteria
Description: bacterial SSU rRNA
Rfam family: Bacterial small subunit ribosomal RNA
Source: RNAcentral